Molecule: ribosomal RNA, 524 nt
Filed under: uncultured bacterium
Lineage: Bacteria
Description: partial 16S ribosomal RNA
Rfam family: Bacterial small subunit ribosomal RNA
Source: RNAcentral
GACAAACGCUGGCGGCGUGCCUAAUACAUGCAAGUCGAGCGCAGGAAGCUGACGGAACUCUUCGGAGGGAAGGCAGUGGAAUGAGCGGCGGACGGGUGAGUAACACGUAAGGAACCUGCCUCAAGGAUUGGGAUAACUCCGAGAAAUCGGAGCUAAUACCGGAUAGUUCAACGGACCGCAUGGUCCGCUGAUGAAAGGCGCUUCGGCGUCACCUUGAGAUGGCCUUGCGGUGCAUUAGCUAGUUGGUGGGGUAACGGCCCACCAAGGCGACGAUGCAGAGCCGACCUGAGAGGGUGAUCGGCCACACUGGGACUGAGACACGGCCCAGACUCCUACGGGAGGCAGCAGUAGGGAAUCUUCCACAAUGGACGAAAGUCUGAUGGAGCAACGCCGCGUGAGUGAUGAAGGUUUUCGGAUCGUAAAACUCUGUUGUAAGGGAAGAACACGUACGAGAGGGAAUGCUCGUACCUUGACGGUACCUUACGAGAAAGCCACGGCUAACUACGUGCCAGCAGCCGCCGUAA